GGGGACUCGGCCGGCAUCGUCGUUAGCACAGAAGAUCCUCAGUCAUAGUUAACAAAAUGGAAAAAAAAUUAGCUGUGUUUUUAAGAUUCCAGUGGUGGCCAUCAAUUGCUCAGGAAAGCAGCCCAGAAUCACUUCACAACAGGUUUCCAAAGGAUCAUCAAUCAUCAUUCAUCAGCACAGAAGGGUGGGAAAGAGAAGGCUGUUCAAAUUCUGAAAAGCCAGAGCUGCAAAGGAGGUCAAAGAUGCAGUGCAGUUGGCCCACUCAGUAGAGUGUCACUAGUGGUUCUGAUGUGGACUGAAGAUUACACGCUGGAUUGAAGUGGCCGGUCUGGAGCAGCUGUAGUUCAUCAUUCCUGCUGAUUGUGGACGAGUAAGAGCCCGCGUUGGCCCCGAUCGGCGAUCGCUGGCCAAAGCCCACCACCAGUUUGGUGAUAGGCGUUGGCUGUGAUAUCUAGUGUCGCCUAUGUGUGAAAAGGACAAGUUGAUAACAAAACCUGUUGCGCCAUGUUAUUAACCCGCGCCCGGGUGGCCCUCAGUCAACUUGGUGGGGG
This is a long non-coding RNA of Amphibalanus amphitrite, 551 nucleotides long. RefSeq lists it as uncharacterized. The transcript has 3 exons. The record is from RefSeq and is a predicted model, not a curated record. NCBI's taxonomy places the organism in Eukaryota, Metazoa, Arthropoda, Thecostraca, Balanomorpha, Balanidae.